UAGAGACCUCCAUGUAAACAUAGAUGACGGCAGACAGCAUCUUCUAGAAGCCCAGCGUGAGAAGGAGAAAGAGACUGUUGAUUGGUGGAGUAAGUUUUAUGCUUCUGUUGGGGAGAGUGAGAGAUGCCGCCCAUACCUUGACAAAGGUUAUGACACAUU
Molecule: long non-coding RNA, 159 nt
Organism: Sinocyclocheilus grahami
Lineage: Eukaryota; Metazoa; Chordata; Actinopteri; Cypriniformes; Cyprinidae
Exons: 3
Source: RefSeq, a predicted model, not a curated record